RNAcentral lists this ribosomal RNA (1400 nucleotides) under uncultured Bacteroidota bacterium. Its description in RNAcentral is "bacterial SSU rRNA". It matches the Rfam family "Bacterial small subunit ribosomal RNA". Lineage: Bacteria; Pseudomonadati; Bacteroidota. The record is from RNAcentral.
AGAGUUUGAUCCUGGCUCAGGAUGAACGCUAGCGGCAGGCCUAACACAUGCAAGUCGAGCGGGCUUCAGCAAUGGAGUCAGCGGCGGACGGGUGCGUAACGCGUACGGAAUCUAUCCUUGGUAGGGGGACAACAGUUCGAAAGGACUGCUAAUACCGCAUAAUGCAGCGGCAGCACAAGCUGACAGUUGUUAAAGCAGCGAUGCGACUAAGGAGGAUCGUGCGUCCGAUUAGCUAGUUGGUGGGGUAAUGGCUCACCAAGGCGACGAUCGGUAGCUGGUCUGAGAGGAUGAUCAGCCACACUGGCACUGAGACACGGGCCAGACUCCUACGGGAGGCGGCAGUGGGGAAUAUUGGGCAAUGGGCGCAAGCCUGACCCAGCCAUGCCGCGUGAGGGAAGAAGGGGCAUCGCCUUGUAAACCUCUUUUCUCUGGGGAUAAUGCGCAGUUAGACUGCGAGUGAAGGUACCAGGGGAAUAAGCACCGGCAAACUACGUGCCAGCAGCCGCGGUAAUACGUAGGGUGCAAGCGUUGUCCGGAUUUACUGGGUUUAAAGGGUGCGUAGGCGGGCGAAUAAGUCUGGGAUGAAAUGGCAGGGCUCAACCUUGUCGCUGUCUUGGAUACUGUUUGUCUGGAGUGUGAUUGAGGUAGCUGGAAUGAGUGGUGUAGCGGUGAAAUGCGUAGAGAUCACUCAGAACACCGAUUGCGAAGGCAGGCUACUGGAUCAUAACUGACGCUGAGGCACGAAAGCGUGGGGAUCAAACAGGAUUAGAUACCCUGGUAGUCCACGCAGUAAACGUUGGUCACUAGGUGUUGGCGGCAUGCCGUCAGUGCCCAAGGGAAACCGAUAAGUGACCCACCUGGGGAGUACGCCCGCAAGGGUGAAACUCAAAGGAAUUGACGGGGGCCCGCACAAGCGGUGGAGCAUGUGGUUUAAUUCGAUGGUACGCGAGGAACCUUACCUGGGCUAGAAUGCGCGUGACGGAAUCAGAGAUGGUUUUUCCCCGCAAGGGGCACAAAGCAAGGUGCUGCAUGGCUGUCGUCAGCUCGUGCCGUGAGGUGUUGGGUUAAGUCCCGCAACGAGCGCAACCCCUGUUGUCAGUUGCCAGCGAGUCAAGUCGGGCACUCUGAUGAGACUGCCUUCGUAAGGAGUGAGGAAGGGGGGGACGACGUCAAGUCCUCAUGGCCCUUACGUCCAGGGCAACACACGUGCUACAAUGGCCGGUACAAUGGGCAGCAAGAGCGUGAGCUGGAGCGAAUCCGUUAAAGCCGGUCUCAGUUCGGAUUGGAGUCUGCAACUCGACUCCAUGAAGUUGGAAUCGCUAGUAAUCCUGGAUCAGCUAUGCCACGGUGAAUACGUUCCCGGGCCUUGUACACACCGCCCGUCAAGCCAUGGAAGCUGG